Molecule: ribosomal RNA, 2902 nt
Filed under: Streptococcus pneumoniae
Lineage: Bacteria; Bacillati; Bacillota; Bacilli; Lactobacillales; Streptococcaceae
Description: 23S ribosomal RNA
Rfam family: Bacterial large subunit ribosomal RNA
Source: RNAcentral
GGUUAAGUUAAUAAGGGCGCACGGUGGAUGCCUUGGCACUAGGAGCCGACGAAGGACGUGACAAACGACGAUAUGCCUUGGGUAGCUGUAAGUAAGCGAUGAUCCAGGGAUUUCCGAAUGGGGGAACCCAACAGGUAAUACCUGUUACCUACAUCUGUUAAGGAUGUGAGGAGGAAGACGCAGUGAACUGAAACAUCUAAGUAGCUGCAGGAAGAGAAAGCAAAAGCGAUUGCCUUAGUAGCGGCGAGCGAAACGGCAGAAGGGCAAACCGAAGAGUUUACUCUUCGGGGUUGUAGGACUGCAAUGUGGACUCAAAGAUUAUAGAAGAAUGAUUUGGGAAGAUCAGCCAAAGAGAGUAAUAGCCUCGUAUUUAAAAUAGUCUUUGUACUUAGCAGUAUCCUGAGUACGGCGGGACACGUGAAAUCCCGUCGGAAUCUGGGAGGACCAUCUCCCAACCCUAAAUACUCCCUAGUGACCGAUAGUGAACCAGUACCGUGAGGGAAAGGUGAAAAGCACCCCGGGAGGGGAGUGAAAUAGAACCUGAAACCGUGUGCCUACAACAAGUUCGAGCCCGUUAAUGGGUGAGAGCGUGCCUUUUGUAGAAUGAACCGGCGAGUUACGUUAUGAUGCGAGGUUAAGUUGAAGAGACGGAGCCGUAGGGAAACCGAGUCUGAAUAGGGCGCCUUAGUAUCAUGACGUAGACCCGAAACCAUGUGACCUACCCAUGAGCAGGUUGAAGGUGCGGUAAGACGCACUGGAGGACCGAACCAGGGCACGUUGAAAAGUGCUUGGAUGACUUGUGGGUAGCGGAGAAAUUCCAAACGAACUUGGAGAUAGCUGGUUCUCUCCGAAAUAGCUUUAGGGCUAGCGUCGACAUUAGAGAUUCUUGGAGGUAGAGCACUGUUUGGGUGAGGGGUCCAUCCCGGAUUACCAAUCUCAGAUAAACUCCGAAUGCCAAUGAAUUAUGGUCGGCAGUCAGACUGCGAGUGCUAAGAUCCGUAGUCGAAAGGGAAACAGCCCAGACCACCAGCUAAGGUCCCAAAAUAAUUGUUAAGUGGAAAAGGAUGUGGGGUUGCACAGACAACUAGGAUGUUAGCUUAGAAGCAGCUAUUCAUUCAAAGAGUGCGUAAUAGCUCACUAGUCGAGUGACCCUGCGCCGAAAAUGUACCGGGGCUAAAACAAUUUACCGAAGCUGUGGAUACCUUUAUAGGUAUGGUAGGAGAGCGUUCUAUGUGUGAUGAAGGUAUACCGUGAGGAGUACUGGAACGCAUAGAAGUGAGAAUGCCGGUAUGAGUAGCGAAAGACAGGUGAGAAUCCUGUCCACCGUAAGACUAAGGUUUCCAGGGGAAGGCUCGUCCGCCCUGGGUUAGUCGGGACCUAAGGAGAGACCGAAAGGUGUAUCCGAUGGACAACAGGUUGAUAUUCCUGUACUAGAGUAUGUAGUGAUGGAGGGACGCAGUAGGCUAACUAAAGCAGACGAUUGGAAGAGUCUGUCUAAGCAGUGAGGUGUGAAUUGAGUCAAAUGCUUAAUUCUAUAACAUUGAGCUGUGAUGGGGAGCGAAGUUUAGUAGCGAAGUUAGUGACGUCACACUGCCAAGAAAAGCUUCUAGCGUUUAAACAUACUCUACCCGUACCGCAAACCGACACAGGUAGUCGAGGCGAGUAGCCUCAGGUGAGCGAGAGAACUCUCGUUAAGGAACUCGGCAAAAUGACCCCGUAACUUCGGGAGAAGGGGUGCUGACUUAAAGUCAGCCGCAGUGAAUAGGCCCAAGCAACUGUUUAUCAAAAACACAGCUCUCUGCUAAAUCGUAAGAUGAUGUAUAGGGGGUGACGCCUGCCCGGUGCUGGAAGGUUAAGAGGAGUGCUUAGCGUAAGCGAAGGUAUGAAUUGAAGCCCCAGUAAACGGCGGCCGUAACUAUAACGGUCCUAAGGUAGCGAAAUUCCUUGUCGGGUAAGUUCCGACCCGCACGAAAGGCGUAAUGAUUUGGGCACUGUCUCAACGAGAGACUCGGUGAAAUUUUAGUACCUGUGAAGAUGCAGGUUACCCGCGACAGGACGGAAAGACCCCAUGGAGCUUUACUGCAGUUUGAUAUUGAGUGUCUGUACCACAUGUACAGGAUAGGUAGGAGUCUAAGAGAUCGGGACGCCAGUUUCGAAGGAGACGCUGUUGGGAUACUACCCUUGUGUUAUGGCCACUCUAACCCAGAUAGGUGAUCCCUAUCGGAGACAGUGUCUGACGGGCAGUUUGACUGGGGCGGUCGCCUCCUAAAAGGUAACGGAGGCGCCCAAAGGUUCCCUCAGAAUGGUUGGAAAUCAUUCGCAGAGUGUAAAGGUAUAAGGGAGCUUGACUGCGAGAGCUACAACUCGAGCAGGGACGAAAGUCGGGCUUAGUGAUCCGGUGGUUCCGUAUGGAAGGGCCAUCGCUCAACGGAUAAAAGCUACCCUGGGGAUAACAGGCUUAUCUCCCCCAAGAGUUCACAUCGACGGGGAGGUUUGGCACCUCGAUGUCGGCUCGUCGCAUCCUGGGGCUGUAGUCGGUCCCAAGGGUUGGGCUGUUCGCCCAUUAAAGCGGCACGCGAGCUGGGUUCAGAACGUCGUGAGACAGUUCGGUCCCUAUCCGUCGCGGGCGUAGGAAAUUUGAGAGGAUCUGCUCCUAGUACGAGAGGACCAGAGUGGACUUACCGCUGGUGUACCAGUUGUCUUGCCAAAGGCAUCGCUGGGUAGCUAUGUAGGGAAGGGAUAAACGCUGAAAGCAUCUAAGUGUGAAACCCACCUCAAGAUGAGAUUUCCCAUGAUUAUAUAUCAGUAAGAGCCCUGAGAGAUGAUCAGGUAGAUAGGUUAGAAGUGGAAGUGUGGCGACACAUGUAGCGGACUAAUACUAAUAGCUCGAGGACUUAUCCAA